Molecule: ribosomal RNA, 520 nt
Filed under: uncultured bacterium
Lineage: Bacteria
Description: bacterial SSU rRNA
Rfam family: Bacterial small subunit ribosomal RNA
Source: RNAcentral
CAGGACGAACGCUGGCGGCGUGCCUAAUACAUGCAAGUCGAACGGUCUUUCUAUGGAAGCUUGCUUCCACUGAGAAGAUAGUGGCGAACGGGUGAGUAACACGUGGGUAACCUGCCCAUAAGAGGGGGAUAACAUCCGGAAACGGGUGCUAAUACCGCAUAGUUUUCUUGAUCGCAUGAUCGGGAAAGGAAAGACGGCCUUUGUGCUGUCGCUUAUGGAUGGACCCGCGGCGUAUUAGUUAGUUGGUGAGGUAACGGCUCACCAAGACGAUGAUACGUAGCCGACCUGAGAGGGUGAUCGGCCACAUUGGGACUGAGACACGGCCCAAACUCCUACGGGAGGCAGCAGUAGGGAAUCUUCCGCAAUGGACGAAAGUCUGACGGAGCAACGCCGCGUGAGUGAAGAAAGGUUUUCGGAUCGUAAAACUCUGUUGUCAGAGAAGAACAAGUUGGAGAGUAACUGCUCCAGCCUUGACGGUAUCUGACCAGAAAGCCACGGCUAACUACGUGCCAGCAGCGGC